GCCCGGGUGGCGGAAUUGGUAGACGCGCUGGACUUAAAAUCCAGUGGGCCGCAAUGCCCGUGCGGGUUCAAGUCCCGCCCCGGGUA
Molecule: transfer RNA, 86 nt
Filed under: Bacteroidales bacterium
Lineage: Bacteria; Pseudomonadati; Bacteroidota; Bacteroidia; Bacteroidales
Description: tRNA-Leu
Rfam family: tRNA
About the family: Transfer RNA (tRNA) molecules are approximately 80 nucleotides in length. Their secondary structure includes four short double-helical elements and three loops (D, anti-codon, and T loops).
Source: RNAcentral